Molecule: non-coding RNA, 1419 nt
Organism: Ictidomys tridecemlineatus (thirteen-lined ground squirrel)
Lineage: Eukaryota; Metazoa; Chordata; Mammalia; Rodentia; Sciuridae
Source: RefSeq, a predicted model, not a curated record
CCUUUACCACAUCAGAGUGAGUCAUAUUAGUCAUCUAUUUCUUCAGAAAAGUCAUGACAUAGCAGUGCUGACUGGAUGAACCACAAAUUAAUGAACCUUCUGAGCUAUUCAAGAUUUUUCUUCUGCUGGAUAUUUCAUAUAAAUGGAGUUGUAUGGAGCUUUUACCAGCCAAGAACCAACAGACAUCUGGAAAAAAACAUAAUGGAGGGAUGAUGUAAACAGAAAUUUUUGUUCAUUUAUUUGAAUUGGGUGGGAACUGGCUAGUAUCUUAUUUUAGAAGGAAGGACUUUGGUCCAGCUCAAGGAACACCAGGACUGGGUAGGUCAUGCUUGAUGAACCAUAGUGAUUUGGGGGGACUCAUUUUUGCAUAACCAUUUGUUAUGCACUAAUUCUGAAGAGUCAAUCACUAUAUUUGCUUUGGAUUUUUUCCCCUCAAAGCCAAGGUGAAGGCCCACCUCUCAGAAUGGCAGUGAUAUCUUUCUCAGCAUAGUGCAGCUUUGGUACAGAGACAGGGAGCAUGAUGUGUUUUCUGGAGGUGAGGCUUGGCCUGUGUUUGAAAUUUUGGUGUAAGUAUCUUGCUCCAGAUUGUGCUGGAAUUGCUGGAGAUUAAAGCUGAGAUCUGAUUAGGGUCCAGAAGUAGAUGCAGAACCCAUGGCGGUACUUUGUGAUCUGGAGAGUGGGAUCUGGGAUUUUGUGGUCCAUAGUCAGGGCUUUGGGGCCCACUUCCUCUGCUAGAGUCUAUGCUGAAUAUUCUGUGAGUGCAGAACAAGGAGCAGAACAUGCUUCCUCUCCUCAGUGAGCUGCUAGAGGAGAAAAGUUGGAGUCUGUUAGGAACUGACCUUAGGAAUCUCCCAGGUUGAUGGGAGGGUCCCUGGUGCAAGCACACACACAUACACAGGCACACGUUUGUGCACACAGUCAGUGUCUGGCACCAUUAACACGUCAUUUCAUUUCUUUCCUCUUCUGACCUCUUUUUCUCUUUAUUUCCAAAUAUCCUAUCCAAUGCCUCCCUGGAGCACCCCUGAGGGCACCGCAGACUCUGCACUGGUCCCUGGCUGAAGUGCGUGCGGUGGGUGCCCUGCCGCUCUCGUCCUCUGCUGCAAAUGCUUCACCGAUGUCUCCCUUUCAGCCCUGGGAACCUGCUCAUCAGGAAAGUGACCCUGCACUGCUGGCAGACUCAGACUUCUUGCCUCCUGGUUGGAUCAGUGCCAAAACAAACUGACUUGCUUGUUUCCCCAUCCUAUCCUGCUCCCCUGGCUCUUCUUCUGAGAAUGUGCUCCCCACAGAUCACUGGAACAGAAUCCCUAUCAGGCCCUAGGAAGGUGGGCCUAGAGUGGACUCCAUGCUCAUACCUUCCGUCUGUGCUCUCUUCAACUAGGACCUAGCCCUCCUUAAAUUGCCAGUUCUCCUGGAUGCAAA